This is a long non-coding RNA of Labeo rohita (rohu), 663 nucleotides long. RefSeq lists it as uncharacterized. Lineage: Eukaryota; Metazoa; Chordata; Actinopteri; Cypriniformes; Cyprinidae. The transcript has 3 exons. The record is from RefSeq and is a predicted model, not a curated record.
UAGCUAUAACUUUUUAGAAGCAAUGCACUUUUGUAUUUUUAUUUGAUUUGGAUUAUUUAUUUAAUUUGUGUGAUAUAAAAAAAGAACCACUUCCUCAUCUGUUGGUUUAAAUACUGCUGCUUUCAUCUGGCUUUAUGCCUUUUCCAGUCUCCUCUCGUCAUUGACCCUGAGCGCCUGAAGAACCUCACAAAAAGACAACAAUAAUCCCAGCUCAUUAGGUGGGUAAAGUAAAAGGUGAAUAUAACAAGGACAUCAGUGAAACAUCACAGCACCUGCUCUUCACUAGAUCUACUGGAUCAUCUGAGUGAUUUGACUGAAUCAAAAUGCUGCUGAUGAUUGAAGCUCUUCUUCUCAUUUCAGCCACUCUACAGGAUCGAGCAGCUGUUGCUGAUGAACAGAUAUUUCCAUUGGAUAUGGCUCUGAAUUCUGUUGAUGACCUUUAUGUGGGUUGCAAAAAGAACAUGGCCUGUCUGGUGGAGAAGGUAUUGCUAAAGAAGGAACUCAGUAACACACAUAAAUUCAGAAGGGCUUGGCAGGAAGCUGUAGAGAAUCAUAAGCCUCCAGGAGAUAACUUGAAAAAGAUUCAUACGAUUGCCAUUUAUGUGUACACUAAAUCAACUUCUAAAGUAUAUCAGGGUUUGAAUGAUGCUGUUUGUAGUGAUA